UCCCAUCUGAAUUUCAUGAUCCUGUGCACCCCAAUACUUUAUUUCUUGUCUUGUUUCUUCCUUUUGUUGUGUGUGUGUAUGUAUAUUAUAUAUAUACACACACACACAUACAUACAUACACACAGGAUGGGGUGCACAGGAUCAUGAAAUUCAGAUGGGA
Molecule: non-coding RNA, 160 nt
Organism: Pelobates cultripes (western spadefoot toad)
Lineage: Eukaryota; Metazoa; Chordata; Amphibia; Anura; Pelobatidae
Source: the annotation of a GenBank genome assembly